UCCCUUAGAUGUUCUGGGCCGCACGCGUGCUACACUGAGUGGAUCAGCGGGUCAGGUUGCGCGAAAGCGUUUCCUAAUCUUUAAAUCCGCUCGUGAUGGGGAUUGACGGUUACAAUUUUCUGUCAUGAACGAGGAAUACCUUGUAAGCGCGGGUCAUCAUCCCGCGCUGAAUACGUCCCUGCCCUUUGUACACACCGCCCGUCGCUCCUACCGAUUGAGUGGUCCGGUGAGGCUUUGGGAUCUGAGCGGAAAGAGCGUUUCGCUGUUUCUGCUCGGAAAACUCAGUCGAACCUUAUCAUUUAGAGGAAGGAGAAGUCGUAACA
Molecule: ribosomal RNA, 323 nt
Filed under: uncultured eukaryote
Lineage: Eukaryota
Description: partial 18S ribosomal RNA
Rfam family: Eukaryotic small subunit ribosomal RNA
Source: RNAcentral